AUCAGUAUCAUCUGACGUGGCUUC
RNAcentral lists this non-coding RNA (24 nucleotides) under Arabidopsis thaliana (thale cress). Lineage: Eukaryota; Viridiplantae; Streptophyta; Magnoliopsida; Brassicales; Brassicaceae. The record is from RNAcentral.